GGAUGGCUGAGAUCCUUCAGAUGUAUACAUACAAAAACAAUAUCAAACAUUUGUUUAACAAUUAGAUGGAUAGCUGUUAGAUAACUCCCAGGUCAAAUAUAAUGUCACAAUCUAUGCCUUACAGAAGAAAUAUGAAUAUAAAAAAAUAUCUGAUGUAAUGUAUAAAAAUUAAAACUGCAAGUUCAACCACAGAAGUUACCCAAUCAGAUUCUCAUUUCUUAGUAGAUGAGUGGGCUGCCAAAUUUCUCUCAGGGGAGUGCAAGUAUAAUCUCCAAGCAAUUAAAGAAACCCAGUUGGGUAUAUAUAUAGAAACUAAGAAGAACCAAGAAUCUUGGAGAUGAAGAGGAGGAGAGAAAUGGAGAAAGGGUCAGAGAUACAAUCUGCCAUUGAAGAGCUUUCCUUGCU
RNAcentral lists this unclassified non-coding RNA (405 nucleotides) under Hevea brasiliensis (rubber tree). Lineage: Eukaryota; Viridiplantae; Streptophyta; Magnoliopsida; Malpighiales; Euphorbiaceae. The record is from RNAcentral.